Molecule: ribosomal RNA, 253 nt
Filed under: uncultured bacterium
Lineage: Bacteria
Description: partial 16S ribosomal RNA
Rfam family: Bacterial small subunit ribosomal RNA
Source: RNAcentral
GACGAAGGAUCCAAGCGUUAUCCGGAUUCAUUGGGUUUAAAGGGUGCGUAGGCGGGUUUAUAAGUCGGUGGUGAAAGCCGAUCGCUUAACGAUCGAACUGCCAUUGAUACUGUAGACCUAGAGUAUAGAUGAUGUUGGCGGAAUAUGACAUGUAGCGGUGAAAUGCAUAGAUAUGUCAUAGAACACCGAUUGCGAAGGCAGCUGACAAAACUAUAACUGACGCUGAUGCACGAAAGUGCGGGGAUCAAACAGG